Molecule: long non-coding RNA, 978 nt
Organism: Trichosurus vulpecula (common brushtail)
Lineage: Eukaryota; Metazoa; Chordata; Mammalia; Diprotodontia; Phalangeridae
Exons: 3
Source: RefSeq, a predicted model, not a curated record
CUCAGAGACUCUGGACCUGCUGCCGUCACACUUCCCAGGCAGAUAAAGGCAGAAUGAUCUGGCCCUUGGCUUGCCGGCGCCAUUUUGGGGUGUUGUCCACCCGCUCAGUCCCACAAUGAAAAGGACCUCCACCCGUUCCUUUGGAGCCUUGCCUUGCCCGGUACCCAGUCCGGGACCAGGACCAGGUCCGGGCUUAGCGUUAACAGCCAGGAAAGCUCCCCGCUUAGCUCGUCCCCUUCCCCUGCCACUUUUCCUCCCUCCCGAUCUGGCUUCUUGUACCGCCCCCCACCCCCAGCCUCCCGGCCAUUCGCCUCCUCCCUAUCUGACCUCUUCCUCGUAGCCUUCUCUGCGACAGGCCGUACAACGCCUUUGCAAGUGAAGCCGGGAGCACCCAGUGUCCCGGGAGUGGGCACGCGGAGGAUGCGUCAUUGAUCGGCGAUGCCCAGCCGGCCAGACCUGGAGGCCCCAGAUGCAGAUAUGCUACACGUCCACCGUCUCCCUAACAAUCAACACACCAAAUGGUUUUUACUCUUCACAAAAACAAAGAUUCACACCGGCACCAGAAUAAUCCAGGAAUUAAAAGGAGAAAACCAAUUUAGCCAUAGCUUAAGCUGGCAAAAUGCUCCCAAGCUAGGCAAAUGAGAAAAGAUCAUCGAGUCAAGGUAGCAACCAUUCAUCAAGUGCCUACUGUGUGUACCAAGUACUGGGGAUAGAAAGAAAGGCAAAAGACAAGUCCUGACUUCAAGGAGCUCCGAGUCUGAUGGGGACAAAUAUGCAAAUGACUACGUCAAGCCAAUCUGUACAGACAAAAGCAACUGGAGAUAGUCACUGAGAGAAGGUACUGGCAUCAAUGGAAAUGGAGUGUCACUGCAUUGCCGAGUCUGGGGGCAAGUAAGGAAAAGUAGGAGAGAUCCAGAUGGCCAGAAGCUUUUACUUGUGAUCCUUGAGGUGAUAGGAAGUCACACUGAAGUUUAUUGA